GAUGAACGCUGGCGGCGUGCCUAAUACAUGCAAGUCGAGCGAACAGACGAGGAGCUUGCUCCUCUGACGUUAGCGGCGGACGGGUGAGUAACACGUGUAUAACCUACCUAUAAGACUGGGAUAACUUCGGGAAACCGGAGCUAAUACCGGAUAACAUGUUGAACCGCAUGGUUUAACAGUGAAAGACGGUCUUGCUGUCACUUAUAGGUGGAUCCGCGCCGCAUUAGCUAGUUGGUAAGGUAACGGCUUACCAAGGCAACGAUGCGUAGCCGACCUGAGAGGGUGAUCGGCCACACUGGAACUGAGACACGGUCCAGGCUCCUACGGGAGGCAGCAGUAGGGAAUCUUCCGCAAUGGGCGAAAGCCUGACGGAGCAACGCCGCGUGAGUGAAGAAGGUCUUCGGAUCGUAAAACUCUGUUAUUAGGGAAGAACAAAUGUGUAAGUAACUAUGCACGUCUUGACGGUACCUAAUCAGAAAGCCACGGCUAACUACGUG
RNAcentral lists this ribosomal RNA (497 nucleotides) under uncultured bacterium. Its description in RNAcentral is "partial 16S ribosomal RNA". It matches the Rfam family "Bacterial small subunit ribosomal RNA", at positions 28 to 507 of the family's 1533-position model. The record is from RNAcentral.